Molecule: ribosomal RNA, 460 nt
Filed under: uncultured bacterium
Lineage: Bacteria
Description: partial 16S ribosomal RNA
Rfam family: Bacterial small subunit ribosomal RNA
Source: RNAcentral
CCUACGGGUGGCAGCAGUGAGGAAUAUUGGUCAAUGGGCGCGAGACUGAACCAGCCAAGUAGCGUGAAGGAUGACUGCCCUACGGGUUGUAAACUUCUUUUAUAAAGGAAUAAAGUGAGGCACGUGUGCCUUUUUGUAUGUACUUUAUGAAUAAGGAUCGGCUAACUCCGUGCCAGCAGCCGCGGUAAUAAGGAGGAUCCGAGCGUUAUCCGGUUUUAUUGGGUGUAAAGGGAGCGUAGAUGGGUUGUUAAGUCAGUUGUGAAAGUUUGCGGCUCAACCGUAAAAUUGCAAUUGAUACUGGCAGUCUUGAGUACAGUUGAGGUAGGCGGAAUUCGUGGUGUAGCGGUGAAAUGCUUAGAUAUCACGAAGAACUCCGAUUGCGAAGGCAGCUUACUAAACUGCCACUGACAUUGAUGCUCGAAAGUGUGGGUAUCAAACAGGAUUAGAUACCCGGGUAGUC